CUCUAAAAACGUAACACCACAGCUAAUAUCAGAAUAUCAUAUCUCCCUUCUCAAAUCUCAUCUUUGAGCUCUCAGAUCUCUUAAUCUCAAUCUCACUCUCAAAUCUCAUCUUUGAGCUCUCAAAUCUCUUAAUCUCAAUCUCAAAUCUCUGACUGACAAACUCAAGCAGCACCACAGGUCCAAGCUUUCUCCUUUCUUGCGACAAUCUCAUCUCUCCAUCCCAGGGAGGCAACAAAGUAAUUCAAGACUCAUACGUACAUGUACCAAGCUGGUUGGACCAUUAUUUGCUGGAAGCAAGUGCAGCACUGGAAGGAUUGGCUAUUAAACUGUGCUAAGAGUCCUGACAAAUUGGAAGGAUUGGCAUCCUCAAAUUUCACAUUGCUAAUUGACCUGUUUUAGAUUUUUUUCAGUUUCUGUUUUCUGCAAUUUUACUAACAAUUCUUAUGUGAUAGUAAAUGAACUACUAUCCUUGCAAAUUAUGAAUUCCAUUGAGUUUUUGUUUUUCUAUCCUUCCCUUGCUUCUUGAGUUCUUGGAAUGUAAUCUGUCAUUAUUGCUAUUUUGGAUUAAUUAUUGGUUGUUUGUUGAA
Long non-coding RNA from Nicotiana attenuata, 587 nucleotides. RefSeq lists it as uncharacterized. The record is from RefSeq and is a predicted model, not a curated record. The transcript is spliced from 2 exons. Lineage: Eukaryota; Viridiplantae; Streptophyta; Magnoliopsida; Solanales; Solanaceae.